GAUGAACGCUAGCUACAGGCUUAACACAUGCAAGUCGAGGGGCAGCAUGGAGUCAGCUUGCUGACUCCGAUGGCGACCGGCGCACGGGUGAGUAACGCGUAUCCAACCUUCCCUAUACUAGGGGAUAGCCCGGCGAAAGUCGGAUUAAUACCCUAUGUUGUAUUAUGAGGACAUCUGAGUAAUACCAAAGAUUUAUCGCUAUGGGAUGGGGAUGCGUCUGAUUAGGUAGUAGGCGGGGUAACGGCCCACCUAGCCGACGAUCAGUAGGGGUUCUGAGAGGAAGGUCCCCCACAUUAGUACUGAGACACGGACCAAACUCC
This 320-nucleotide ribosomal RNA is filed under the name uncultured Prevotella sp. RNAcentral describes it as "bacterial SSU rRNA". It matches the Rfam family "Bacterial small subunit ribosomal RNA", at positions 28 to 339 of the family's 1533-position model. Lineage: Bacteria; Pseudomonadati; Bacteroidota; Bacteroidia; Bacteroidales; Prevotellaceae. The record is from RNAcentral.